Molecule: ribosomal RNA, 515 nt
Filed under: uncultured bacterium
Lineage: Bacteria
Description: partial 16S ribosomal RNA
Rfam family: Bacterial small subunit ribosomal RNA
Source: RNAcentral
GACGAACGCUGGCGGCGUGCCUAAUACAUGCAAGUCGAGCGGACUUUCAAGAAGCUUGCUUUUUGAAAGUUAGCGGCGGACGGGUGAGUAACACGUGGGCAACCUGCCUGUAAGACGGGGAUAACUCCGGGAAACCGGGGCUAAUACCGGAUAAUAUCUUUCUUCGCAUGAAGGAAGGUUGAAAGGCGGCGCAAGCUGCCGCUUGCAGAUGGGCCCGCGGCGCAUUAGCUAGUUGGUGAGGUCACGGCUCACCAAGGCGACGAUGCGUAGCCGACCUGGGAGGGUGAUCGGCCACACUGGGACUGAGACACGGCCCAGACUCCUACGGGAGGCAGCAGUAGGGAAUCUUCCGCAAUGGACGAAAGUCUGACGGAGCAACGCCGCGUGAGCGAAGAAGGUCUUCGGAUCGUAAAGCUCUGUUGUCAGGGAAGAACAAGUGCCGUUCGAAUAGGGCGGUACCUUGACGGUACCUGACCAGAAAGCCACGGCUAACUACGUGCCAGCCGCCGCCGUAA